Molecule: long non-coding RNA, 1884 nt
Organism: Oncorhynchus tshawytscha (Chinook salmon)
Lineage: Eukaryota; Metazoa; Chordata; Actinopteri; Salmoniformes; Salmonidae
Source: Ensembl
ACCAGCCAAAUUAGUCUUCUCCUAGUUGGCACAGACAGUGACAGUCAGGCCGUAGCACGACAGUCUUGUCCGGAUGCCGUUGACCGCUGCUCUGACGAUAUUCACUUUCUAGCGCUGUAUUUAGGAGGUAACUCGAUACAAUAUGUUAAUUAAAUAGCGGCAUUUUAUUAUGUGGAUGACACAAACAACAAUUAUUUUAUGGCACUAGCUAGCUAGCUGCAGAGGGAUGCUGUCAAACCAACGAUAUCAACCGGUGUUAGCUAACGUUAGCUUGACUGCUAGCAUGUCCUGCACUCAGCUACAGUGAUUGGAUAAUGGUAGCCAUUUAACGUAACCUAUGCAAACAUGCGCUAUCCGUUAUAAUGGGGUGAAACAAAUUAGCUACCCAUAUGUUAUAGUCUUUUGACUAUUUUCACGGAGGAAACAUAAUUAUGCAAUCUAGCUGAACGGUAUGGUUGUAGGCAUUGAGUUAGUCUGGGAGUGGUUACAAUAACGUUGCAUUGUAGAAAGCGUGGUGACUGGCUAGCUUUGCAAAAUGAUGUUUAUCACUUGCUGUCGCAUUCUUUUCGGCCUGAGCGUUAUUGUGGAGCCCUGCCACGUGGUGUUGAUUCGUAUAAUGAGUGAUCAUUAUGUAAAAGUGAAGGUUCAACUCGAACAAAUGAAAUCAUCAGGUGUUGGCGCGGAGGAGGGGGCAGAUAUUAUUGAUGAUGAGGUGUGGGUGGCAUCCCUGCUCUCAUCUGUCUCCUCUGGUGGCACUGAAGCUCAGCAUCAGGUAGCUCAAAUGGAAAGAGGCCUUGAUAAAGAAUAGCAUAGUAGGCCUACAACACAUUGAUGAGGGGACACUAUCUCUGUUAACCCUGUCACUCCAAUGUGACGGCUCUAUGGCCCAGUAUAAACAGCUACACAGCCUUAACCUUGGACUGUGGUAGCUGAAAAGUUGUCCCAAAUGGAAAGCGAUAUCUUUAAUAGACUUAUUAGAUGGCUAAUUGAUACGGGUCCCCUCACUUCGGCAGGCGAGCUCCAUCAGUUCGGCCCUACAGGCGUUGAAUGUGGCGCAAUUAAUACCUGCUAUUGGCCGUUAUCAACAGUGUAGUUCAUUAUACACGAGGAGCAGUGGAGGGUGAAGCCAUCAGACAGUUAGAGGUAAAAUGCUCCUCACUACCACCAUGGAUGACCAUCAUGCGUCGAAAUGUAAUCCCUCCCAAGUAUGGCACAGCAGAUCCGAUCAGGUUUCAAAACUUUGUAGACAGAGGCCUUAUUACAUUACCCUUUGCCCUGACAGAUACAUCUUCUACAAAGUCAAGGACCUAACUGAUCCUCUGUCAGUUUCAAAAGAGCUUUGACGUGCGGUGCUGAGGUAUAGUGUAAGUUGGAAAGCCCAUUGACCUAAGUAUAUUAAGGCACACCCACCUUUCAGUGGCAGGAGAUAGGCCUAACAAUCAUCUUAACUUGUUGUGGGUGCUUUUUCACCCUAGGCUUUAGCCUAGUGCAUGGAGAAGAGGAACUUGAGCAAUUGAUUGAUAUCUAAUCUAUGUAAUGCACUCUGCAUGAGUUUUUGAAGAUGUUGACCCAUAUGAAAACCCAAUUAUGACAGUAAUUGCAUUUAAUUCCUAUGGCAGGAGCAGGCUUAGUUGAUUCCAGAGUCAUUUACAGUAUGACUCUGGUUCUCAACUCAGAUGUUCACUGAUAACCAGUAGGGGACAUGCAGUAUAAGUUUUUUCAGUAGCCUAACAUGUCAUUGGAUCUGCUUGCUGUGCAUUGCCUCAAUAAAUACUGUGUAUUUCUCUGCAUGACUGUGUAUUAGUGUGCCUAUAGAAAAUAUGUACCUUGAUUUUAGAUUUUAGUUUUUUUUUCACACAAUACAUCAUAAUGUCAAAGUUGAAU